Molecule: long non-coding RNA, 2397 nt
Organism: Anopheles gambiae (African malaria mosquito)
Lineage: Eukaryota; Metazoa; Arthropoda; Insecta; Diptera; Culicidae
Exons: 2
Source: RefSeq, a predicted model, not a curated record
CUCAGUCUGUCCAGAACUUUCCCUGUGGAAGGAUGUACUGAAGUGAGGUGCGAUUUAUUGUGCGACGUACUUUGUUCAUUUACGUUUUGUGCCGUGUUCCUUCUUCCUCAGUUAUGGAAUGAUUUAUCCUAGCAAAUUGUUGAGUUACAGGUGUGUGCGCUAUUUAUCAACGACUACCUGAUGGCGUCGUCAACAAUCUUCAAAGGAGCGACGGAAAGAAAACAUUUUCCAGUUUUAAAAUAUUAAAGUAAGUUUUGAUCUAAUCCUAUGCGCUAAACUCUCCAUAGUAAUACAUACUACAUACAUUAAUUAUUGCUUCAUUGAGCCUCCGGUGAGGACGUCAUUACUUAACAGAAGCCGGUUCAACACGCGCAGCUCCUGUUCAUGACGUCAUCACUAAACUCAAGCCAGCUGAACACGCGCAGCACGGAGGGUACCCCGAGCGCGGUAGGAGGAAGGAAGAACGAGAGGAGGAAGAACGGUAAAUUCGGAAGGGGGAAACCCACCGGUCACCAGCACUCAGAGAUCCGCUGAGAUUGAAGCUGACUUUGAAGCUGAGUUGGCGAAAUUAUUCAACCGAUCCGUCGGGUCCCGAAGCCGAAGCAAACCCGAAGCCGAAGCAAAACCCGAACGGGGUUCAGCACGACCCUUCGUUAAAAUAGCCCCCUCUCCCUUUUUUGCCAGGAUUUCUUUCCGAAAUGAUACAGUGCGAACCAUUAUAUCAAUAUGAUUCGAUUUAUUGAAUAUUUUAUAUAACAUAAAUACAAAAAAAAACACAACACAUGCACAAUAACCACUGCACUUAAUUCUAAAUUAACGCAUAUAAUUUAACAAACACUUUUUACACUCGCACAGAGAAAAAUUAACACAACACUUUCUGCUCCUCAUCGCUGUCGCGCCUAGUUCUCGCUGCACUGUACGGCCCACCAUCUCCAACACCACGACACAGCCACAGGUUUUGUUGUCUCCGUUCGCCGUGAAACACACAUGAAAUGGAAGAAAAAUGAUAUUAAUUAGAAGGGGGAUGUUGGUUGAAAAUUUUAAUCACUUUUACUUACCUCAAAUUAAACAAAACUCUAUUUUUUACGGGGUUUAUCCGCUGACUACCAAGCGCUGAAACACCACACAAGCACCAACCUCACUGGACUGAAAGUAAAGCCUACUGCGUGAAUGUGUGUAUGCGCUUCUGCCAAGCCAACCGCGCCGUACUGUGUGUGUAGCCAAGUGCGUGUGUGUGUAUAUUUGCACUACUGGACACAGAACACAAAUCUCACCGCACAGCAGAGCGUGUGUCGCCAAGUGUAUGCAUGUGUGUAUUUGCACCACUGAAUUCUGAACGUCCGCCGCACCGCACCACACAGCGUGUAUCGCCAAGUGCGUGGCUGUGUGUUGUAUCACCGUGGUGUGGCCAAAUGUGUGCAUGUGUGUACUUGCUCCACUGAAAGCCGGUAUCGCACCAGAUUUCGGGUGUCGCCUUGUGCGUGUGUGUGUUAUUGUCACAGCACACUCGUUCGUCAUUUUUUUUCGUUUUUUCGCUUGAUCCCAACCAACCAAGCCGAGCUCUUUCGAAGCAAAUCCUUCGUGAUGAGCGAGAAAGCAUGUCACGCAUCUCACGUGUUGCCAUGCGAACAGCUGCGCGUGUAGAUGUGUGAGUGCGCGGAGAAAAAUUGAUGGAUGACGAAUGGAGGAAGGGGAGGAGCUUCACUCUCUCGAAGCAUUUGAAGGGGGGCCGAACGCUCUCUUCACAUUUUGCGAAGAAUCAGUUCAACUCAAACGCUUGGCAAAGAGAAUAUACUACUUUGAGGCACUAAAUAUUUCAGGCAAUGGAGUCGUGGUCUAUUAGUAUUAGUAUAAAUUAUUUCCCUUACCCCAUUUAUGAAUUAAUUUAAAGGAAUAAACAUUAAUCUGAGUAAAAUUUCAAAAGUCACUUUUAGCAAAAAACUUUUUCCAAAUGUGUUUUGAAAUUCUGAAUCGAUCUUGUAAAGACGGGUUUUUCAUACAAUGCGUACUUUUUAAGAUAUUUGGAAAAGUACGGUUCAUAGGGUGCGCGGAUGAUAUACUAGCAAUGCUAUUCCAAUGAAAUGCUAUUCCGCUCUAUCAAAUUUUCAGCUGAGCGAUUUUGUCUGUUUACGUUAGAACCGCUCCAUUAUUAUUGCGCCUUUUACGUCCUCACGCGCGAAUUCACAAAUAGUUAAAGUGUUAGGCCCGCUUGUGAUGAACAGUAGAUCCACCAUGUACCAUGUUUCAAUUCUCUGAUUAAAUCGCACGUUAUAAAUAAAUCGAAUAUAUCUCCUUCCAAUUUCAAUUAAAAACACAUAACCACUGCACAUAAGGUAGGAAGAUAGAUGAGAGGAGGAGGAGGAGGAGGAGGGGCUAUAAACACGUACGUAAAUAAAA